RNAcentral lists this ribosomal RNA (31 nucleotides) under Veronica tenuifolia. RNAcentral's name for it is "partial 26S ribosomal RNA". The record is from RNAcentral. Lineage: Eukaryota; Viridiplantae; Streptophyta; Magnoliopsida; Lamiales; Plantaginaceae.
CGACCGCGACCCCAGGUCAGGCGGGACUACC